RNAcentral lists this ribosomal RNA (1049 nucleotides) under Salmonella enterica subsp. enterica serovar Bredeney. RNAcentral describes it as "partial 23S ribosomal RNA". It matches the Rfam family "Bacterial large subunit ribosomal RNA", at positions 689 to 1735 of the family's 2925-position model. Lineage: Bacteria; Pseudomonadati; Pseudomonadota; Gammaproteobacteria; Enterobacterales; Enterobacteriaceae. The record is from RNAcentral.
UGGGCGUUAAGUUGCAGGGUAUAGACCCGAAACCCGGUGAUCUAGCCAUGGGCAGGUUGAAGGUUGGGUAACACUAACUGGAGGACCGAACCGACUAAUGUUGAAAAAUUAGCGGAUGACCUGUGGCUGGGGGUGAAAGGCCAAUCAAACCGGGAGAUAGCUGGUUCUCCCCGAAAGCUAUUUAGGUAGCGCCUCGUGAAUUCAUCUCCGGGGGUAGAGCACUGUUUCGGCUAGGGGGCCAUCCCGGCUUACCAACCCGAUGCAAACUGCGAAUACCGGAGAAUGUUAUCACGGGAGACACACGGCGGGUGCUAACGUCCGUCGUGAAGAGGGAAACAACCCAGACCGCCAGCUAAGGUCCCAAAGUCAUGGUUAAGUGGGAAACGAUGUGGGAAGGCCCAGACAGCCAGGAUGUUGGCUUAGAAGCAGCCAUCAUUUAAAGAAAGCGUAAUAGCUCACUGGUCGAGUCGGCCUGCGCGGAAGAUGUAACGGGGCUAAACCAUGCACCGAAGCUGCGGCAGCGACGCUGAUGCGUUGUUGGGUAGGGGAGCGUUCUGUAAGCCUGCGAAGGUGGCCUGUGAGGGUUGCUGGAGGUAUCAGAAGUGCGAAUGCUGACAUAAGUAACGAUAAAGCGGGUGAAAAGCCCGCUCGCCGGAAGACCAAGGGUUCCUGUCCAACGUUAAUCGGGGCAGGGUGAGUCGACCCCUAAGGCGAGGCCGAAAGGCGUAGUCGAUGGGAAACGGGUUAAUAUUCCCGUACUUGGUGUUACUGCGAAGGGGGGACGGAGAAGGCUAUGUUGGCCGGGCGACGGUUGUCCCGGUUUAAGCGUGUAGGUGUGUGUUCCAGGUAAAUCCGGUUCACUUUAACACUGAGGCGUGAUGACGAGGCACUACGGUGCUGAAGCAACAAAUGCCCUGCUUCCAGGAAAAGCCUCUAAGCAUCAGGUAACAUCAAAUCGUACCCCAAACCGACACAGGUGGUCAGGUAGAGAAUACCAAGGCGCUUGAGAGAACUCGGGUGAAGGAACUAGGCAAAAUGGUGCCGUAACU